GAUGAAGAACGUAGCGAAAUGCGAUAAGUAGUGUGAAUUGCAGAAUUCAGUGAAUCAUCGAAUCUUUGAACGCACAUUGCGCCCUUUGGUAUUCCUUAGGGCAUGCCUGUUCGAGCGUCAUUUAAACCUUCAAGCUAAGCUUGGUGUUGGGUGACUGUCCGCUUCACGGCGGACUCGCCUCAAAAUUAUUGGCGGCCGGUACAUUGGCUUCGAGCGCAGCAGAAACGCGAACUCGGGCCCGUCGUAUUGCUCCCAGAAGCUAUCUUCACAAUUUUGACCUCGGAUCAGGUAGGGAUACCCGCUGAACUUAAGCAUAUCAAUAAGCGGAGGA
Molecule: unclassified non-coding RNA, 331 nt
Filed under: soil metagenome
Description: partial contains 5.8S ribosomal RNA, internal transcribed spacer 2, and large subunit ribosomal RNA
Rfam family: 5.8S ribosomal RNA (bases 1-120)
Source: RNAcentral